CAGCAGCCGCGGUAAUACAGAGGUCUCAAGCGUUGUUCGGAUUCAUUGGGCGUAAAGGGUGCGUAGGUGGCGUGGAAAGUUGAGUGUGAAAUCCUAGGGCUUAACCUUAGAACUGCACUCAAUACUCCCAUGCUAGAGGAAUGUAGAGGAGAGUGGAAUUCACGGUGUAGCAGUGAAAUGCGUAGAUAUCGUGAGGAAGACCAGUUGCGAAGGCGACUCUCUGGGCAUCUCCUGACACUGAGGCACGAAGGCUAGGGGAGCAAACGGGAUUAGAUACCCCGGUAGUCCUAGCAGUAAACGGUGCACGUUUGGUGUGGGCAGGCUCAGACCCUGUCCGUGCCGGAGCUAACGCGUUAAACGUGCCGCCUGGGAAGUACGGUCGCAAAUUAAAACUCAAAGGAAUUGACGG
RNAcentral lists this ribosomal RNA (409 nucleotides) under uncultured bacterium. RNAcentral describes it as "bacterial SSU rRNA". It matches the Rfam family "Bacterial small subunit ribosomal RNA", at positions 509 to 916 of the family's 1533-position model. The record is from RNAcentral.